This 405-nucleotide ribosomal RNA is filed under the name uncultured Pseudomonadota bacterium. RNAcentral describes it as "bacterial SSU rRNA". It matches the Rfam family "Bacterial small subunit ribosomal RNA", at positions 355 to 777 of the family's 1533-position model. Lineage: Bacteria; Pseudomonadati; Pseudomonadota. The record is from RNAcentral.
UGGGGAAUAUUGGACAAUGGGGGCAACCCUGAUCCAGCAAUGCCGCGUGUGUGAAGAAGGUCUUCGGAUUGUAAAGCACUUUCGACGGGGACGAUGAUGACGGUACCCGUAGAAGAAGCCCCGGCUAACUUCGUGCCAGCAGCCGCGGUAAUACGAAGGGGGCUAGCGUUGCUCGGAAUGACUGGGCGUAAAGGGCGUGUAGGCGGUUUGUACAGUCAGAUGUGAAAUCCCCGGGCUUAACCUGGGAGCUGCAUUUGAUACGUGCAGACUAGAGUGUGAGAGAGGGUUGUGGAAUUCCCAGUGUAGAGGUGAAAUUCGUAGAUAUUGGGAAGAACACCGGUGGCGAAGGCGGCAACCUGGCUCAUUACUGACGCUGAGGCGCGAAAGCGUGGGGAGCAAACAGGA